Molecule: ribosomal RNA, 2143 nt
Filed under: Brucella anthropi
Lineage: Bacteria; Pseudomonadati; Pseudomonadota; Alphaproteobacteria; Hyphomicrobiales; Brucellaceae
Description: Ochrobactrum anthropi partial 23S ribosomal RNA
Rfam family: Bacterial large subunit ribosomal RNA
Source: RNAcentral
GAGUGAUCAAGUGUCUUAAGGGCAUUUGGUGGAUGCCUUGGCAUGCACAGGCGAUGAAGGACGUGAUACGCUGCGAUAAGCGUCGGGGAGGUGCGAAUACCCUUUGAUCCGACGAUUUCCGAAUGGGGCAACCCACCUUAGAUAGCUAGAAAAUUUGAAUUGUUGGAGUGAAACUGCAUGGGUGAGAGCCCAUACAGACCGCUAGGUCGUCGGUUCGAAUGAACCGCCCCUGCGGAGCGAAGCAGCGCAAGCUGCGACAGCGUGAGCAAGAACAGUUCAACUUUCUAGUUAUCGUAAUAAGGUAUCUACACCUGAAUACAUAGGGUGUUAGAAGCGAACCUGGGGAACUGAAACAUCUAAGUACCCAGAGGAAAGGACAUCAAACGAGACUCCGCUAGUAGUGGCGAGCGAACGCGGACCAGGCCAGUGGCAAUAGGGAAUAAAGUGGAAGAACCUGGAAAGGUUUGCCGAAGUGGGUGAUAGCCCCGUACACGUAGAACACCUGUUGUCCUUGAGUAGGGCGGGACACGUGAAAUCCUGUCUGAACAUGGGUCGACCACGAUCCAAGCCUAAGUACUCGUGCAUGACCGAUAGCGAACCAGUACCGUGAGGGAAAGGUGAAAAGCACCCCGACGAGGGGAGUGAAACAGUACCUGAAACCGGAUGCCUACAAACAGUUGGAGCCCAAGGUUCGUCCUGGGUGACAGCGUACCUUUUGUAUAAUGGGUCAGCGACUUAGUGUAUCGAGCAAGCUUAAGCCGGUAGGUGUAGGCGCAGCGAAAGCGAGUCUGAACAGGGCGUUCAGUUCGAUGCAUUAGACCCGAAACCAAGUGAUCUAGCCAUGAGCAGGUUGAAGGUACGGUAACACGUACUGGAGGACCGAACCCAUAUCUGUUGCAAUAGAUCGGGAUGACUUGUGGCUAGGGGUGAAAGGCCAAUCAAACUUGGAGAUAGCUGGUUCUCCGCGAAAUCUAUUUAGGUAGAGCGUCCAGCGAAUACCCCCGGGGGUAGAGCACUGAAUGGGCUAUGGGGACUCACCGUCUUACUGAUCCUAAUCAAACUCCGAAUACCGGGGAGUACUACUGGGCAGACACACGGCGGGUGCUAACGUCCGUCGUGGAGAGGGCAACAACCCUGACCACCAUCUAAGGUCCCUAAGUUAUGGCUAAGUGGGAAAGGAUGUGAGGAUCCCAAAACAACCAGGAUGUUGGCUUAGAAGCAGCCAUCAUUUAAAGAAAGCGUAACAGCUCACUGGUCUAAAUAAGGGUCUUUGCGCCGAAAAUGUACCGGGGCUAAAGCCAUACACCGAAGCUGUGGAUGCACAUUUGUGCGUGGUAGCGGAGCGUUCCGUAAGCCUGUGAAGGGACAGUCGUGAGACAUCCUGGAGGUAUCGGAAGUGAGAAUGCUGACAUGAGUAACGAUAAAGGGAGUGAGAGACUCCCUCGCCGAAAGUCCAAGGGUUCCUGCUUAAAGUUAAUCUGAGCAGGGUUAGCCGGCCCCUAAGGCGAGGCCGAAAGGCGUAGUCGAUGGGAACCACGUUAAUAUUCGUGGGCCUGCAGGUAGUGACGGAUCGCGUGUGUUGUAAGGUCUUAUUGGAUUGAUCUUGCAGCGAAGCGGUUCCAGGAAAUAGCUCCUGCAUAUAGACCGUACCCUAAACCGACACUGGUGGACUGGUAGAGAAUACCAAGGCGCUUGAGAGAACUGCGUUGAAGGAACUCGGCAAAAUGCACGCGUAACUUCGGAAGAAGCGUGACCUCCAUUUAGGCAACUAGGUGGGGGUGGCACAGACCAGGGGGUAGCGACUGUUUACCAAAAACACAGGGCUCUGCGAAGUCGCAAGACGACGUAUAGGGUCUGACGCCUGCCCGGUGCUGGAAGGUUAAGAGGAGAUGUGCAAGCAUUGAAUUGAAGCCCCAGUAAACGGCGGCCGUAACUAUAACGGUCCUAAGGUAGCGAAAUUCCUUGUCGGGUAAGUUCCGACCUGCACGAAUGGCGUAACGACUUCCCCGCUGUCUCCAACGCAGACUCAGUGAAAUUGAAUUCCCCGUGAAGAUGCGGGGUUCCUGCGGUUAGACGGAAAGACCCCGUGCACCUUUACUAUAGCUUUACACUGGCAUUCGUGUCGGCAUGUGUAGGAUAGGUG